Molecule: ribosomal RNA, 465 nt
Filed under: uncultured bacterium
Lineage: Bacteria
Description: partial 16S ribosomal RNA
Rfam family: Bacterial small subunit ribosomal RNA
Source: RNAcentral
GACGAACGCUGGCGGCGUGCUUAACACAUGCAAGUCGAACGGAAAGUCCCUGCUUGCAGGGUACUCGAGUGGCGAACGGGUGAGUAACACGUUGAUGAUCUGCCCUGCACUUCGGGAUAAGCCUGGGAAACUGGGUCUAAUACCGGAUAGGAGCCAUUUUUAGUGUGGUUGUUGGAGAGUUUUUUCGGUGUAGUAUGAGCUCGCGGCCUAUCAGCUUGUUGGUGGGGUAAUGGCCUACCAAGGCGGCUACGGGUAGCCGGCCUGAGAGGGUGGACGGCCACAUUGGGACUGAGAUACGGCCCAGACUCCGACGGGAGGCAGAAGUGGGGAAUAUUGAACAAUGGGAGCAAGCCUGAUGCAGCGCCGCCGCGGGGGGGAUGACGGCCUUCGGGUUGUAAAUUCAUUUCGCUAGGGCCGAAGCUUUUUGUGACGGUACCUAGAUAAGAAGCACCGGCUAACUCCGUG